GACGAACGCUGGCGGCGUGCUUAACACAUGCAAGUCGAACGGAAAGGCCCCUUUGGGGGUACUCGAGUGGCGAACGGGUGAGUAACACGUGCGUAACCUGCCCUUGACUUCGGGUUAACUUCAGGAAACUGGGGCUAAUACCGGAUAGGAAUCCUUGCUGCAUGGUGGGGGUUGGAAAGCUUCGGCGGUUUUGGAUGGACUCGCGGCUUAUCAGCUUGUUGGUGGGGUAGUGGCUUACCAGGGCUUUGACGGGUAGCCGGCCUGAGAGGGCGACCGGCCACAGUGGGACUGAGAUACGGCCCAGACGCCUACGGGGGGCAGCAGUGGGGAAUAUUGCACAAUGGGCGGAAGCCUGAUGCAGCAACGCCGCGUGCGGGAUGACGGCCUUCGGGUUGUAAACCGCUUUCAGCAGGGGCGAAGCUUGUGGUGACGGUACCUGCAGAAGAAGCACCGGCUAACUACGUG
This 465-nucleotide ribosomal RNA is filed under the name uncultured bacterium. RNAcentral describes it as "partial 16S ribosomal RNA". It matches the Rfam family "Bacterial small subunit ribosomal RNA", at positions 28 to 507 of the family's 1533-position model. The record is from RNAcentral.